This 475-nucleotide ribosomal RNA is filed under the name uncultured bacterium. RNAcentral describes it as "bacterial SSU rRNA". It matches the Rfam family "Bacterial small subunit ribosomal RNA", at positions 36 to 507 of the family's 1533-position model. The record is from RNAcentral.
CUGGCGGCGUGCUUAAUACAUGCAAGUCAACGACUUUUAGAGUAGCUAAUAUUUAAAAGGAGUGGCGCAACGGGUGAGUAACACGUAGGUAAUCUGCCUUCAGGACUGACACAACUCGUCGAAAGACGGGCUAAUAUCAGAUAAUGCAGCGGCUCCGCAUGGAGACAGUUGUUAAAGUACAAGCGCCUGAAGAUGAGCCUGCGGUCCAUUAGCUAGUUGGUAGAGUAACAGCCUACCAAGGCGACGAUGGAUAGCUGGUCUGAGAGGAUGAUCAGCCACACUGGAACUGAGACACGGUCCAGACUCCUACGGGAGGCAGCAGUAAGGAAUAUUGCUCAAUGGCCGAAAGGCUGAAGCAGCAACGCCGCGUGAAGGAUGAAUGGCCUUUGGCCUGUAAACUUCUGUAAAAAGGGAAAACAAUCAGGCAUGUCCUGAUUUGAUUGUACCUUUGAAGUAAGCCCCGGCUAACUACGUG